UACGAAGGGUCGCAAGCGUUAUCCGGAAUUAUUGGGCGUAAAGAGCUCGUAGGCGGUGUGUCGCGUCGGCCGUGAAAACCUGCAGCUUAACUGUGGGCUUGCGGUCGAUACGGGCAUCACUGGAGUUCGGCAGGGGAGACUGGAAUUCCUGGUGUAGCGGUGAAAUGCGCAGAUAUCAGGAGGAACACCGGUGGCGAAGGCGGCUUCCUGGUCCAGCACCGGACGUCAGGCACGAAAGCGUGGGGAGCAAACAGG
RNAcentral lists this ribosomal RNA (255 nucleotides) under uncultured bacterium. Its description in RNAcentral is "partial 16S ribosomal RNA". It matches the Rfam family "Bacterial small subunit ribosomal RNA", at positions 524 to 776 of the family's 1533-position model. The record is from RNAcentral.